UCCCUGGAGGUCUUGUGGUUAGGCCACGGUGCUCUCACUGCUGCGGCCCAGGUUCAAUUCUGGGCCAGGGAA
This is a non-coding RNA of Pangasius djambal, 72 nucleotides long. The record is from the annotation of a GenBank genome assembly. NCBI's taxonomy places the organism in Eukaryota, Metazoa, Chordata, Actinopteri, Siluriformes, Pangasiidae.